Molecule: ribosomal RNA, 674 nt
Filed under: uncultured bacterium
Lineage: Bacteria
Description: bacterial SSU rRNA
Rfam family: Bacterial small subunit ribosomal RNA
Source: RNAcentral
AGAGUUUGAUCCUGGCUCAGGACGAACGCUGGCGGUGUGCUUCACACAUGCAAGUCGAGCGAAUGAAGAAGGUAGCUUGCUACUUUUGGAUUUAGCGGCGGACGGGUGAGUAAUAUAUAGGAAUCUGCCCUAGAGCGGGGAACAACAGACCGAAAGGUUUGCUAAUGCCCCAUAGGUACGCAGUCUUCGGAUUGUUUAUUAAAGGAGUAAUCCACUCUAGGAUGAGCCUGUAUCCGAUUAGCUAGUUGGCGGGGUAAAGGCCCACCAAGGCUACGAUCGGUAGUUGGUCUGAGAGGAUGAUCAGCCACAAUGGGACUGAGACACGGCCCAUACUCCUACGGGAGGCAGCAGUGGGGAAUUUUACACAAUGGGGGAAACCCUGAUGUAGCGACACCGCGUGAACGAAGAAGCCUUUUGGGGUGUAAAGUUCUGUCGGCUGGAACGAAAAAAAUGACGGUACCAGCAAAGGAAGCAUCGGCUAACUACGUGCCAGCAGCCGCGGUAAGACGUAGGAUGCAAGCGUUGUCCGGAUUUAUUGGGCGUAAAGAGUUUGUAGGCGGUUAUUUAAGUCUGAUGUUAAAUACUGUGGCCCAACCACAGAACUGCAUUGGAUACUGGAUGACUUGAGUGCGGUAGAGGCAAGUGGAAUUCCCAGUGUAGCGGUGAAAUGCGUA